UAAUGAUAUGCUUGCUUUAAGGACUAAGCCAUGCAUGUUUAAGUUCACGCUUAUUGCCGAAACCGCAUAUGGCUCAUUAUAACAGCUAUGAUUUCUUAGAUACUACUACCUCUACUUGGAUAACUGUAGAAAUUCUAGAGCUAAUACAUGCCAAUUUAUGCUUUAGCCUUAUGGUUAGGGUGGCUAUAUUAGAAUAAAAUCAACCUACCUUCGGGUAGUUUAUUUUGUUGACUCUGGAUAUCUCUCUACCUGAUCGCAUGGCCUUGCGCCGGCGACAGUCAUUCAAGUUGCUGCCCUAUCAACUAGAUGGUGAGAUAAAGUCUUACCAUGGUUAUAACGGGUAACGGGGAAUCAGGGUUCGAUUCCGGAGAGGGAGCCUUAGAAACGGCUACUACAUCUAAGGAAGGCAGCAGGCGCGCAACUUAUUCACUGCUAGUGUUAGUGAAAUAGCCAACAGAGAAUACCGAUGCGGAUCUUUUUAUAAGUUUCUGCAAUCGGCAUGAAUUGAAAUAAUCUUUUUUGAGAUCUAACGGAGGGCAAGUCUGGUGCCAGCAGCCGCGGUAAUUCCAGCUCCGCUAGUAUAUAUUAAAUUUGUUGCAGUUAAAAAGCUCGUAGUUGAAUCCCAGGUUGUGGAGAUCCUAGCUGUCUUAUGAUUGCUUAGGAUAUCCCGCCUUACUAGUCGAUAGCUAUUGCAGGGGCUCUUUAUUGAGUCACUUGUAAUGCACGACAUGUUUACCUUGAAAAAAUUAGAGUGCUCAAAGCAGGCUUUAUAGCUUGAAUAAAUUUGCAUGGAAUAAUGGAACAAGACUCUACUGCUUUUUGUUGAUUUUCUAAGCAUUAUGUAGAGUAAUGAUUAAAAGGGACUGCCGGGGGCAAAAGUAUGGCCGCGCGAGAGGUGAAAUUCUAGGACCGUGGCCAGACUAUCUAUUGCGAAAGCAUUUGCCAAGAAUGCUCUCAUUAAUCAAGAACGAAAGUUAGAGGUUCGAAGACGAUCAGAUACCGUCCCUAGUUCUAACAGUAAACGAUGCCGAUUACUCAUCAGUCUUGUGCCUUUUUGCACUAGAUUGGUACCCUAGGGAAACCGUUAAAUAUGGUUCUGGGGGGAAUAUAAUCGCAAGGAGGAAACUUAAAGGAAUUGACGGAAGGGCACCACCAGGAGUGGAGCCUGCGGCUUAAUUUGACUCAACACGGGAAAACUCACCCGGCCCGGACACUAUAAGGAUUGACAGGCUGACAGCCUUUCAUGAUUUAGUGAAUGGUGGUGCAUGGCCGUUCUUAGUUGGUGGAGUGAUUUGUCUGGUUAAUUCCGAUAACGAACGAGACUCUAGCCUGCUAAAUAGUACACUCAUACCUGGCUUUCCUAACAUAGGUAGUGAGUGUUACUUCUUAGAGGGAUUAGUGGAAUUUGAAGCCACAUGAAAAAGAGCAAUAACAGGUCUGUGAUGCCCUUAGAUGUCCGGGGCGGCACGCGCGCUACAAUGGCUAUAUCAAAAAGGUUCCUUGGCCAAAAGGUCUGGGAAAUCUUUUAAUUAUUGUCGCGUCAGGGAUCAGGGUUUGUAAUUUUCCCCUGUGAACGAGGAAUUCCCAGUAAGCAUACGUCAUCAGCACAUGCUGAUUACGUCCCUGCCCUUUGUACACACCGCCCGUCGCUACUACCGAUUGAAUGGUUUAAUGAGAUUAUUGGACUGGAGGCAUAAGGGACUUCGGUCUCUAAUGUCUUCGGAAAGAUUAUCAAAUUUGAUUAUUUAGAGGAAGUAAAAGUCGUAGGAAGGUUUCCGU
Molecule: ribosomal RNA, 1779 nt
Filed under: Graffilla buccinicola
Lineage: Eukaryota; Metazoa; Platyhelminthes; Rhabdocoela; Graffillidae
Description: SSU rRNA
Rfam family: Eukaryotic small subunit ribosomal RNA
Source: RNAcentral